This is an RNA transcript of Triplophysa dalaica, 650 nucleotides long. It is a transcript of the gene named prosaposin-like, with no coding region annotated. Lineage: Eukaryota; Metazoa; Chordata; Actinopteri; Cypriniformes; Nemacheilidae. The transcript has 6 exons. The record is from RefSeq and is a predicted model, not a curated record.
UGCUUUAGACGUUAUUAAUUUGGUAAAAAAGCAAAAAGAAAUGAAUUGUUUCCACACAUUCACUACCCAAUAUGUAUAGAAAUAAAUAAGUCAUUGUGGUCGAUACGAAGCGCUAUAAGAAAGAGUCCACAGGCUUCUGAAGAUCACAGAGGAUCAGACUGUGAAAGAUUCUUCAUCGUUCAGGUUACAGUUCAUCAUCUAAGAUGCUCCGCAACAUCUUUCUUGUCACCUUGCUCAUAUGCUCAGCCUGUGCAGAUGACAUGAGCUCCACUGAAGAUGAUCUUGUCAAGAGUGAUCCUGAGUUGCCGAAAAUAAAUGGGGACUUAACUUGCUACCUGUGUAAAAAAGUAGUGUCAUACGUGAAAAGCAAAAUCUCUUCUGAUACAACAGUGGAGAAAAUAAAGAAAAUUUUGCAUUCUGUCUGUGAUCACCUUCCCCUUUUUAAAGACAGCUGCAAAACCUUUGUCAGUAAAUAUGCAGACAAGAUUGCUGUCAUUAUUCAGAAAGCUGACCCAGAAACCGUCUGUAAGAAAAUUAGUGUCUGCUAAUAGGUCUGAACCAGCUCAUUGUUGCAUCUAAACAAACGCAUCGACAAUCUGUGAAUGAGGAGAAAUUACAAUGAAGCUUUGCAUGCAUUAAAAAGAAUAAUA